RNAcentral lists this ribosomal RNA (495 nucleotides) under uncultured bacterium. RNAcentral describes it as "partial 16S ribosomal RNA". It matches the Rfam family "Bacterial small subunit ribosomal RNA", at positions 28 to 507 of the family's 1533-position model. The record is from RNAcentral.
GACGAACGCUGGCGGCGUGCCUAAUACAUGCAAGUAGAACGCUGAAGGAGGAGCUUGCUCUUCUGGAUGAGUUGCGAACGGGUGAGUAACGCGUAGGUAACCUGCCUGGUAGCGGGGGAUAACUAUUGGAAACGAUAGCUAAUACCGCAUAAUAGUAGAUGUUGCAUGAUAUUUACUUAAAAGGUGCAAUUGCACCACUACCAGAUGGACCUGCGUUGUAUUAGCUAGUUGGUGGGGUAACGGCUCACCAAGGCGACGAUACAUAGCCGACCUGAGAGGGGGGUCGGCCACACUGGGACUGGGGCACGGCCCCGGCUCCUACGGGGGGCAGCAGUAGGGAAUCUUCGGCAAUGGGCGAAAGUCUGACCGAGCAACGCCGCGUGAGUGAAGAAGGUUUUCGGAUCGUAAAGCUCUGUUGUAAGAGAAGAACGAGUGUGAGAGUGGAAAGUUCACACUGUGACGGUAUCUUACCAGAAAGGGACGGCUAACUACGUG